UGGUUGGUUCACGAUUUUUGGACGACCAAGCUGGUCGACGGAGGCUGGUCCGUUUUGGACGAUAGGGUUCGUUUGGACGGGGGCUGGUGGUUGUUUGGUGAGGGUGGUCGUUUGGCAUGGACGAGCAACGGGACGCAGUCCAUUUGGGUGGUGUUUGGCGGCUUGGGGUCAGGUGGACGGGGAGGAGAAGCAGCAGGGAGGGCUAUUUGUGUUGGGUGGUUUGAAGAAAAUGAAGAGAGGAGGGGGUGGGUAAGGUGGU
This 259-nucleotide long non-coding RNA is filed under the name Nicotiana benthamiana. Its description in RNAcentral is "long non-coding RNA (NBEN_LNC033052)". The record is from RNAcentral. Lineage: Eukaryota; Viridiplantae; Streptophyta; Magnoliopsida; Solanales; Solanaceae.